UAUUACUAAGUAUAUGGUAUACAUAGACCUUUGAAGUCUAUACAAUAAGUUCAACUCUUAUAGUAAUAA
RNAcentral lists this transfer RNA (69 nucleotides) under Barbronia weberi. RNAcentral's name for it is "tRNA-Gln". It matches the Rfam family "tRNA". From Rfam's summary of the family: Transfer RNA (tRNA) molecules are approximately 80 nucleotides in length. Their secondary structure includes four short double-helical elements and three loops (D, anti-codon, and T loops). The record is from RNAcentral. Lineage: Eukaryota; Metazoa; Annelida; Clitellata; Hirudinida; Salifidae.